CAGCCGCAGCACUGAGAAACCCUAGAGAGAUCUUGCAGGAACCACUCACCAUGGUUAGAGAUAUUUUCUUUCUCCUUAUUUUCUGCAAUUUCAUCGAAGCUCUUCUUCCUUUUUUUCAUUUUUCGAUCGAUCUUUUUCUCUGCAGACGUUUAAGCGCAGGAAUGGAGGUCGCAACAAGCACGGUCGUGGCCACGUCAAAUUCAUUCGUUGCUCCAACUGUGGCAAAUGCUGUCCUAAGCACAGCUACAUUCUCAGAUUCUACUGCCACUACAACAGAACCGCAACAUCUCGAAAUUGAUAAUGUAUCUUGUUCAUUUUCUUCUAAUCUAUGGAUUCUGAAAAAGCGUUAGAGCUUGUCAAGCACGGUGUCACUCUUCUCUUCCUCGAUGUUCCUCAGUACACGAUGGUCGCCAUCGAUACUCAUAUGUUCCAUGUGGGGCCUGCUUUUAAGGGUAUUAAGAUGAUUCCUCCUGGCACUCAUUUUGUGUACUAUAGUUCAUCAAGCAGAGAUGGGAAAGAGUUCUCACCAAUUGUUGGAUUCUUCAUUGAUGCUGGCAAUUCAGAGGUAAUUGUUCGGAAAUGGGACCAACAAGAAGAAAGGUUAGUUAAAGCUUCUGAGGAAGAGGAAGAAAGAUACAGUCAAGCUGUUAAAAAUUUGGAAUUUGACGGACAACUCGGGCCUUACAAUCUAAGCCAUUAUGAAGAUUGGAAACGGUUAUCUAAUUUUAUCACAAAAAAUGUCAUUGAACGGCUUGAGCCAAUUGGAGGUGAAAUCACUGUUGAAUCUGAAAAUGAGAUUGUUAGAAACUCUACUAAAAUCCCAAUGGAAGAAGCACCAGAGAAGCAGUUGAAGGUUGGCAAUUCUGCAUCAUCUGUUGGCAAGUCUCAGAGGAAAGGAUGUUAUUAUACUUCAAUUCCACGUGUUGUUAAAUGCAAGGGUAUUAGUGGGCAGGAACUUACUUCUUUAAAUCUUGACAAGACACAAUUGAUAGAAACUUUACUGGCAAAAGAUUAUGGCGGUUCUGAAGACAUGCUUCUUGGAGAACUGCAGUUUACAUUUGUUGUCUUUUUGAUGGGUCAAUCGCUAGAAGCAUUUCUCCAAUGGAAGUCAUUAGUUAGCCUUUUGUUUGGCUGCACUGAAGCACCUUUCCGCACACGAACUCAACUAUUUACAAAGAUCAUCAAAGUCAUCCAUAAUCAACUAAAAUUUGGACUACAGAAAGAUCACAUGGGUGAAACAGGAUCAGCACUGUUGGAUGAUUCUUUGAUUUCCGCUGAUAGCUUUUUGCACCAUGUUUGCAAGACAAGGAAAUUUAAGGAGCUGUUGGAGAGUAGUCUAGGGUGGGAGUUUCAGCUUGGCAGUGCUGUUGAUGGGAUAUAUUUUGAGGAAAAUGAUGAGUAUGCUCCUGUAGUUGAGAUGCUGGAUGAUGAAGCUGUAGUAAGUUAAAAAUGUGGAUAAUGUCUUCACUAUGCUAUAACAGAUAGUAAAUCAUGAAUGCCCUAGCACUUUGCACUGCCCUUUGGCCUACUCACUCUCACAGCCAUACCCUUCUCUUAGAUUGUACAGUAAGGCAUACCAAAGCUCCACCUUUGCAAACUAACUAUAAGAUCAUGUUACUGUAUUUCAAAUUUCAAUUGAGUUAAAAGUCAUGUUGGAUCUGAAGUAGAAAUUCAGUAACUUUUCUAUUUCAGUAACUUUGAUGCAGAUUGAUUUUCCAGAGCUGCUCAUAUUUUGUAUUUUUCUAGCUUUCAUAGAUUAGGACAUGCGUAGGAAACUUGUGGAUUUAUUUUGACUUGUUUGAGGAGUUGCUGAGUGGAGGAGUAUUGGCCUUUGCAAUUGAGACAGCGAGUUCUUUCAUUUUUCCGAAAUAAUGGGGGACUUCCAUCAAUACAACAGGAGAUUGGCUGCUCUGAAGGAACUCGUGCUGGUGCAACUUGACACAGCUAGAGAACGCAUAGAACAGAACGAGGUCCUAUCAGGAGUACAAAACAGUAGAUAUUGCCUAUAAAAAUCUGCUCAAACAUGCAGUUGUUCUGCCACCACCACCUCCCGUUCAGCCCGAGAACAUUCAAGACCCUCCCGUUUAGCCGGAGAAUAUUCAAGAACCGCCACAUUAAG
Molecule: RNA transcript, 2119 nt
Organism: Vigna radiata var. radiata (mung bean)
Lineage: Eukaryota; Viridiplantae; Streptophyta; Magnoliopsida; Fabales; Fabaceae
Gene name: protein AAR2 homolog
Exons: 14
Source: RefSeq, a predicted model, not a curated record